Molecule: unclassified non-coding RNA, 278 nt
Organism: Erinaceus europaeus (western European hedgehog)
Lineage: Eukaryota; Metazoa; Chordata; Mammalia; Eulipotyphla; Erinaceidae
Gene: 7SK
Rfam family: 7SK RNA
About the family: 7SK was discovered as an abundant small nuclear RNA in the mid-70s but a possible function has only recently been suggested. Two independent studies have found that 7SK RNA binds the CDK9/cyclin T complex (known as elongation factor P-TEFb).
Source: Ensembl
AAAUGUGAGGGCGAUCUGGCUGCGACAUCUGUCACUCCAUUGAUCACCAGAGUUGAUUCAGCUGAUCUGGCUGGCUAGGUGGGUGUCCCCUUCCUCCCUCACCGCUCCAUGUGAGUUCCCCCAGAAGCUAUGUACUUGGUCGAAGAGGACAACUUUGUCUGAAUAGGUCUCCGGUCUUUGCACUUCUCUACUAGAACCUCCAGCCAAGCUCUCUAGACUGAGGAUAGCUAAUCUAUAAGGAAAUCAGUGUCAUAGUGAUAAAUGUAACAAUUUGAUAA